GGAGGAAGAAGAAGAAGC
This 18-nucleotide small nuclear RNA is filed under the name Arabidopsis thaliana (thale cress). Its description in RNAcentral is "snRNA_14209". The record is from RNAcentral. Lineage: Eukaryota; Viridiplantae; Streptophyta; Magnoliopsida; Brassicales; Brassicaceae.